AUACGGAAGGUCCGGGCGUUAUCCGGAUUUAUUGGGUUUAAAGGGAGCGCAGGCGGAGAUGCAAGCGUGACGUCAAAUUUCGGGGCUCAACCCCGUCUCGCGUCGCGAACUGCGUCCCUUGGUUGCGGGAAGGGGAGGCGGAACUCGUGGUGUAGCGGUGAAAUGCAUAGAUAUCACGAAGAACUCCGAUCGCGAAGGCAGCCUUCCGGCCCGUCAACGACGCGCAUGCUCGAAGGUGCGGGUAUCAAACAGGAUUAGAUACCCUGGUAGUCCGCACAGUAAACGAUGGACACCCGCGGUUUGGCCUGUAUGGCUGAGCCGCCAAGCGAAAGCGUUAAGUGUCCCACCUGGGGAGUACGCCGGCAACGGUGAAACUUAAAGGAAUUGACGGGG
RNAcentral lists this ribosomal RNA (393 nucleotides) under uncultured bacterium. Its description in RNAcentral is "partial 16S ribosomal RNA". It matches the Rfam family "Bacterial small subunit ribosomal RNA", at positions 523 to 918 of the family's 1533-position model. The record is from RNAcentral.